UUAGUUAAAACCAAAAAGAGGUAUUUUAUUGUUAAUAGAAUUAUUGAUUAAUUUCUAACUAAA
This 63-nucleotide transfer RNA is filed under the name Aleyrodidae sp. JXCHN01. RNAcentral describes it as "tRNA-Asn". Lineage: Eukaryota; Metazoa; Arthropoda; Insecta; Hemiptera; Aleyrodidae. The record is from RNAcentral.